UACGGGGGGGGCAAGCGUUGUUCGGAAUUACUGGGCGUAAAGGGCGCGUAGGCGGUUGGAUAAGUCAGCUGUGAAAACCACGGGCUUAACUCGUGGCCUGCAGUUGAGACUGUCUGGCUUGAGUGUGGGAGAGGAGAGUGGAAUUCCUGGUGUAGCGGUGAAAUGCGUAGAUAUCUGGAGGAACACCGGUGGCGAAGGCGGCAUCCUGGACCGACAUUGACGCUGAGGCGCGAAAGCCAGGGGAGCAAACGGG
RNAcentral lists this ribosomal RNA (253 nucleotides) under uncultured bacterium. Its description in RNAcentral is "partial 16S ribosomal RNA". It matches the Rfam family "Bacterial small subunit ribosomal RNA", at positions 524 to 776 of the family's 1533-position model. The record is from RNAcentral.